RNAcentral lists this ribosomal RNA (311 nucleotides) under uncultured bacterium. RNAcentral's name for it is "bacterial SSU rRNA". It matches the Rfam family "Bacterial small subunit ribosomal RNA", at positions 28 to 334 of the family's 1533-position model. The record is from RNAcentral.
GACGAACGCUGGCGGCGCGCCUAACACAUGCAAGUCGAACGAGCGAGAGAGAGCUUGCUUUCUCGAGCGAGUGGCGAACGGGUGAGUAACGCGUGAGGAACCUGCCUCAAAGAGGGGGACAACAGUUGGAAACGACUGCUAAUACCGCAUAAGCCCACAGCUCGGCAUCGAGCAGAGGGAAAAGGAGUGAUCCGCUUUGAGAUGGCCUCGCGUCUGAUUAGCUAGUUGGCGGGGUAACGGCCCACCAAGGCGACGAUCAGUAGCCGGACUGAGAGGUUGACCGGCCACAUUGGGACUGAGACACGGCCCAG